GGGGUAAUCAUUCCCUACUCCUGAAGCAAGAUUCCACCUAAUGCCUCAUGGUUUGCAAAGUUUUCAGCCUGGCUUUUGGUCCUGUGUUCUGGUCCUGUGUGAAUGCUGGGUACCCCUCCCUCUGCUGUGGACAGCUCUCUCUUGCUCCAGGUCCUCAGUAUUUAUUUCGGUUUCUUUGGACUCUCAGCUUUGUCUUCUCAGCUCAUGGAGUCUGCAAGCUGGGCCAGGGUCACCUCCUUGUGCUGUGGGAACUCUCUGGACUUGGCCACCCAGUGGGACUCCAGCCACCCCCACUCCCCACGUACAGCGACAACAAGGUGGGACUGUUCCUCCGCUUAUUAAAAAAAGAGUUUGCUUUCCAAGACCUUGAUGAAAUAUAUAAAAAUAUUUAAAUGCUGUCAACUCAGUCUUUAAGUAUGCUGU
Ailuropoda melanoleuca (giant panda) is the source of this 423-nucleotide long non-coding RNA. RefSeq lists it as uncharacterized. The transcript is spliced from 3 exons. The record is from RefSeq and is a predicted model, not a curated record. Lineage: Eukaryota; Metazoa; Chordata; Mammalia; Carnivora; Ursidae.